AUGUUCCUACGGGGGGCAGCAGUAGGGAAUUUUCGUCAAUGGGCGCAAGCCUGAACGAGCAAUGCCGCGUGAACGAGGAAGGUGUUCGGAUCGUAAAGUUCUGUUGAAGGGGAAAAAGAGCGGAGAGAGGAAAUGAACUCCGAUUGAUAUUACUCUUCGAGGAAGUCACGGCUAACUACGUGCCAGCAGCCGCGGUAAUACGUAGGUGGCGAGCGUUAUCCGGAAUGAUUGGGCGUAAAGGGUGCGUAGGCGGCCUGCUAAGUCUGGAGUGAAAGGUACCGGCUCAACCGGUACAGGCUCUAGAA
RNAcentral lists this ribosomal RNA (305 nucleotides) under uncultured bacterium. RNAcentral's name for it is "bacterial SSU rRNA". It matches the Rfam family "Bacterial small subunit ribosomal RNA", at positions 333 to 631 of the family's 1533-position model. The record is from RNAcentral.